Molecule: long non-coding RNA, 1438 nt
Filed under: Oreochromis niloticus (Nile tilapia)
Lineage: Eukaryota; Metazoa; Chordata; Actinopteri; Cichliformes; Cichlidae
Description: lncRNA (ENSONIG00000028775.1)
Source: RNAcentral
GUGUUUACUUCAUUUAGAGACACUUGGGGGUAAUCUGAAAAUGUCACUCUGUCUGUUCACCACUUUGUUCAGACAUGGUCCUAAGAGGAUGAUUUUUGUCUAGCACCACAAUGAGGUUGACAUUUUUGUUUUGAGUGAAAUAUCUUGACAUCUAUUGGAUACACUGACAUUAAAUUUGCUCCAUAUAUUUCAGGUCUAUCCAUCCAUUUUCUUCCAUCUAUACAAUUCAGGGUUGCAGGAAGGGGUUGGACCGUAUCCCAGUCAUCAUAGGACCAGAGGCAGGAAACACAACGACAGGUGGCCAGUCUGUCGCAUAUUAAGACAGACAAGCAUUCACGCUCACACCUAAAGUCAAUUUAAAUAUCACCAAAUAAUCCAAGGUGGGUUCUUUAAAAUAGGUGGGUUCCCUAUCAGAGAAUCUGCAAAGAACCAUGCACACUCCACACAUAAAGGCCCCAGGCUAGAUCAGUAGCCGGGUGCUAACAACAUACCAUUGUGUUACCCCAAAUAUCUGGUACCAAGUAUAUUUAUUCUAGUUACUCCAAUUAUUGGCUGAAAUAUUGGCUAGCAAAUUUGACGAGUCAAACUUGUCCACUUCUUUGUUUCCUGGCAAAAAUAUCAGCAAAAAUAAUGACAUUCUCUAAUAAGCUAAUGCUAAUAUGCUAAUAGCGUUGGCUUACACUAUUAGCUAGCUUGCACAUUGUUACCUUGCUUGCUUCCUAUUUUAGAAGCCCCAGGGAGCUCUCGGCAUAGCUUUAAGAGAGUUUAGUGUUUAUCAAAAAUGUGGACCAGGAAACCCAAAUAAUGACCUCAAAGACAUCUUUAUAACACCGAGGAGAGCGUUUCAGAAUCAGGUGACAGUUCUCAGGGAAAGAGUCCAGUCGAACAGAAAGGUUAGUAAUCUUUGUUGCAAGCAAGCUGCUGGAUUUCAGAUCUGUUAGUGCUUUUUUAUCCCUGUUAAUAAUGUAGUUUCCUAUCCUAAUUUAUGUACGCACAUAAGCUUUACCUAACCAGAUGUUGUUUUUUUUAAAAAUUUGAAACAGUGAUAUCUGAAAUAAUUAUUGCUACUGAGUGGUCAAUCUUUUUAAAAUGUUGUUUUCAGCCUCUGUUCAGAGCUUCAUCAGUAAUCAAGGGUUAAUUUCACACCUCAGUGGAUUGCCUGCCUUAAUCUCUAUUCAGUGUAAUUAAAUCUGUCCAAUAAAGUGAGCUCUUUUCCUCUUUGUUCUCUCACAUCUCCUACUCUCUCUUUUUUUAAUUGUUUUACACCCAUCACAUCUCAUCGUCUGAACUACAGGCCAUCCAGCCUCGCUUGACAGGCAGAAUCUAUCCCUAAAAUUAAAACAUUCCUGACCGAGAUUGUAAGGGGAAAGCGAGGGAGGCAGGAAAAAUGAGCAAAAGGGAGGGAGAGAACAGGGGAGUUUGCUGAGCUUGGGAGAGG